AACUGAUACUACCUGCGGGAACCUGCGGAAGGAUCAUUACCGAGUUUACAACUCCCAAACCCCUGUGAACUUAUACCUUUACUGUUGCUUCGGCGGGUCAUUGCCCCGGGGAAACAGGUGCCGCCAGGUCCCUGCCCCCCCGGAAACAGGCGCCCGCCGGGGGACUCAAACUCUUCUGUAUUUUUUGUUUACUGUAUACUGUCUGAGUAAAAAUUCAUAAUGAAUCAAAACUUUCAACAA
This 240-nucleotide unclassified non-coding RNA is filed under the name soil metagenome. RNAcentral describes it as "partial contains 5.8S ribosomal RNA, internal transcribed spacer 2, and large subunit ribosomal RNA". The record is from RNAcentral.